GCAAGUUGAGCGCUGAAGGUUGGUACUUGUACCGACUGGAUGAGCAGCCAUUUGGUGAGUAACGCGUGGGGAAUCUGCCUUUGAGCGGGGGAUAACAUUUGGAAACGAAUGCUAAUACCGCAUAAAAACUUUAAACACAAGUUUUAAGUUUGAAAGAUGCAAUUGCAUCACUCAAAGAUGAUCCCGCGUUGUAUUAGCUAGUUGGUGAGGUAAAGGCUCACCAAGGCGAUGAUACAUAGCCGACCUGAGAGGGUGAUCGGCCACAUUGGGACUGAGACACGGCCCAAACUCCUACGGGAGGCAGCAGUAGGGAAUCUUCGGCAAUGGACGAAAGUCUGACCGAGCAACGCCGCGUGAGUGAAGAAGGUUUUCGGAUCGUAAAACUCUGUUGGUAGAGAAGAACGUUGGUGAGAGUGGAAAGCUCAUCAAGUGACGGUAACUACCCAGAAAGGGACGGCUAACUACGUGCCAGCAGCCGCGGUAAUACGUAGGUCCCGAGCGUUGUCCGGAUUUAUUGGGCGUAAAGCGAGCGCAGGUGGUUUAUUAAGUCUGGUGUAAAAGGCAGUGGCUCAACCAUUGUAUGCAAUGGAAACUGGUAGACUUGAGUGCAGGAGAGGAGAGUGGAAUUCCAUGUGUAGCGGUGAAAUGCGUAGAUAUAUGG
Molecule: ribosomal RNA, 661 nt
Filed under: uncultured bacterium
Lineage: Bacteria
Description: bacterial SSU rRNA
Rfam family: Bacterial small subunit ribosomal RNA
Source: RNAcentral